UAUCUAAACGGGAAGNUUNNAUAUUGCCCUCAAAAGCAAUGUGCACUUCUUCCUUAGUAAGACGCUGUGAUCCAUUAGAAACGACCAUUCCAAUGGUUAUUUGGCUAUCAAUAGGCCGACACGAAGUUCUCCGAUACAAAUGACUCGAUCUUUGAUGGCUGGGUGUAUUGUUUGGGGAGCGUGCCGGUACCUGUGUUAUAGCUGUCUGAUGGAUUUUAAAGGUCAUAUUAUUGGUGCUUGCACCACUCAUACGAGAAUGAAUAUGUGCCCGAUCAACAGCGGUUAAAUUUGGGAUACCUUUUGGACCCGUCUUGAAACACGGACCAAGGAGUCUAUCUAACAUGCGAGUAAAUGAGUAUAUGAAACUUAUNUGCAGAAAAAACUUGACUGUUAUGGGACUACGUGUUAGUACUUGUGCUAGCACCUCCAUCCCGUGGUAUUUCUAUCAACAUACGCAGCAAUGUGUAUGGGAAAUAUACAAUGAGCAUGCUGGAUGGGACCCGAAAGAUGGUGAACUAUGCCUGAUCAGGUUGAAGUCAGGGGAAACCCUGAUGGAGGACCGAAGCAGUUCUGACGUGCAAAUCGAUUGUCGGAAUUGGGCAUAGGGGCGAAAGACUAAUCGAACUAUCUAGUA
RNAcentral lists this ribosomal RNA (634 nucleotides) under Limnophyes minimus. RNAcentral describes it as "eukaryotic LSU rRNA". It matches the Rfam family "Eukaryotic large subunit ribosomal RNA", at positions 435 to 949 of the family's 3401-position model. The record is from RNAcentral. Lineage: Eukaryota; Metazoa; Arthropoda; Insecta; Diptera; Chironomidae.